This 1938-nucleotide long non-coding RNA is filed under the name Homo sapiens (human). Its description in RNAcentral is "HSALNT0361613". Lineage: Eukaryota; Metazoa; Chordata; Mammalia; Primates; Hominidae. The record is from RNAcentral.
AUGCCAGAGGCUCUAUUUCCUAGCAUUUUACAGCUCCUAUAACUGUAGAAUGGUUGUAGGUCACAGGUAUAACCAAUGAAAACACAACCUAAGAUACAAAUCAGGAGCUACUGAUGCAAAGAAUGGGGACCAGGAGGAAGAGUUUCUUCGAGACCUGGUGGUUGAAGAGCAGUGGAUCAUUCUUGGCUGUGGUGGGAGAGGUGCUGAACGUUGUUCACGCUGGCUAUGUCAUGAGUGGAAUCUAUGGCGUCAAGGCUAGAGCUGGAGGGAAUGGGCUCCCCAUUGAGGUGAUGGACUUCAUCCCUGGUGCUAUUCAAGCAGUGGCUGUGGGCUUCCAGUCAGGGAUGCAGUGAAUGAGCCUCUUAUACCAGAGAAGGAUGGAUAGAGAAAAGCAUCAUUACAAAAGUGAAAUGUGUGAAUUUUAUUCUGGCUUUGAACAUUGAGUAGACGAAGAAGACAAUUCCAGACGGAGGAAACUCCACAAGAAAUAUCAUGGAAAUUUGAAAGAACACAGUGGGCUUGGGAAGAGGUGCUUCCAAGACCAAGAUAACCAGGCAAUCAUAGUAGAUGCAUCAAUGCACCCUUGCCCAAGGGCCUAGACAAGAGGAGGAAGGAAAGGAGGAGCACGUGCACAAAGCUAAGGAGGUGAUUAACAACAUGAUACAGUAUUGUUUAGCUUCGCAUGAAUUUUAUCACCUUGCCUAGAACCAGCCACCAUCUGCCAGGGCUCCUGACUUUUUCUGAAAUGAAUAGACACUAAAGCCUGCUGGGGAAUUUCAUGGAAAUCAAGAUGACUCAACCCAGAGUCCAUUUCAAGGCUAGGAUGCUAGAGGACGCCAACAAAGGAGUAGGGAAGUGAAACGGAUCAGCUCACAUCCAAGCCCUUGCAUGAUCAAUCCUGCAGUAGGAGUGCUGCUCAGUUGGGACUCAUGAGAGCCCGGAAGAGGAAAAAGCAGCUCUAAGCAUAGCAAAGAAGCUGUUAUGGAAAAGACCCAAAUGUUAAAAUGGUGGACAUAGUAAAGUGAUUGGUUCUGCUUAGGGGAAUCUAGAUCCCCACAUUUUGACCUCCACUGGAGUCUCAGAAGAACAAGUGCCAGGGGGGCUUGCCACAGAGGCCAAGGCAGUGAAUGUCAGGCACAUCACAGUCCCCAAGAUGGGGAGAAGACUGAGAUGCAGGGUAACAACUGCAAUCCAUUCAUGGGAGCCAUGUUUAUCUUAAAUCAUUGACAGUGAGAUAAGGAUCAUGUCAGCCUUCAUACCUUUGAUGAUGAUCCCAGGCUGCAACAGUGACACAUAGAACUGGAUUCAGUAACUAACUACAGAUUCCAUCAACCAGGACUAGUAAAGUGAAAGGCAGAAAUUGGGAGGAGGGGUUUCUUUCUUGCUUAUAAAACUUUAUUUGGUUGUGUUGAGUAUGUGCAUGUAUGUAUGAAAUCCCAUAAAGCAGUCUUCUUAGGAACAAGCCAACAUGCCACAAUGUAGGAGAUCUUUGGAGCACUGGCCUAAAUGGCAGAGAGCUCAAGGGACUCUGCUUUGUACAAGGCAUGAUUUGUACCACCACCACUAUCCCUGUUUCAGAGCACUGUUGAAUUGUUCCAAACCUGGAUUUCUAUGUCAGCUCCCUGUCUAUAGUACUUGACUGAUAAAUGCUAGUUUCUGAAAUCUGCUUUGGUUCUAUAAUUUAUUAGACAGCUUUUUCUUCCCAUUUUAUUACUUGUUUUUACUGUCAUUGGUAUAUUAUCUCUUACAGUGAAAACAUUCAUAGGCUGAUUGAAGAGAAGAUCUGAAAUUAUUAGGCAGCAAGCAUACAAAACCCUUGCUUUAUAAAGAUAAUAUCUUAAAGGCCUAAUGUCUAUGGUUCAAAGCAGCCUGGAGAUGUUGGCUAAAUCUUCCAUCAUAGAGUCCUCAUGGGAUCUGGAAGCUCUGAUUUAUCUUCCU